CACGUAUUUAGCCGGGGCUUCCUCCUAUGAUACCGUCAUUAUCUUCUCAUAGGACAGAGCUUUACGACUCGAAAGCCUUCUUCGCUCACGCGGCGUCGCUGCAUCAGGGUUUCCCCCAUUGUGCAAUAUUCCCCACUGCUGCCUCCCGUAGGAGUUUGGACCGUGUCUCAGUUCCAAUGUGGCCGUUCAUCCUCUCAGACCGGCUACUGAUCGUCGCCUUGGUAGGCCUUUACCCCACCAACUAGCUAAUCAGACGCGAGCCCAUCUUACACCGGUAUUCCCUUUUACCCUUUUACCAUGCGGUUAUUGUGGUCUUAUGGGGUAUUAAUCACCGUUUCCAAUGGCUACUCCCCCUGUGUAAGGCAGGUUCGCUCACGUUGUUACUCACCCGUUCGCCUACUUUCGUUAAAUCUCUAUUUCGUACCGAAAACUCUAUUCGAUCUAACUCUCGUUCGACUUGCUAUGUUGUUAACGCACCGCCGCCAGCGUUCGUCU
RNAcentral lists this ribosomal RNA (495 nucleotides) under uncultured Parvimonas sp. RNAcentral's name for it is "partial 16S ribosomal RNA". The record is from RNAcentral. Lineage: Bacteria; Bacillati; Bacillota; Tissierellia; Tissierellales; Peptoniphilaceae.